This 492-nucleotide ribosomal RNA is filed under the name uncultured bacterium. RNAcentral's name for it is "partial 16S ribosomal RNA". It matches the Rfam family "Bacterial small subunit ribosomal RNA", at positions 29 to 507 of the family's 1533-position model. The record is from RNAcentral.
AGUGAGCGCUGGCGGUAGGCCUAACACAUGCAAGUCGAACGGCAGCACAGUAAGAGCUUGCUCUUACGGGUGGCGAGUGGCGGACGGGUGAGGAAUACAUCGGACUCUACUUUUUCGUGGGGGAUAACGUAGGGAAACUUACGCUAAUACCGCAUACGACCUACGGGUGAAAGCAGGGGAUCUUCGGACCUUGCGCGAUUGAAUGAGCCGAUGUCGGAUUAGCUAGUUGGCGGGGUAAAGGCCCACCAAGUCGACGAUCCGUAGCUGGUCUGAGAGGAUGAUCAGCCACACUGGAGCUGAGACACGGUCCAGACUCCUACGGGAGGCAGCAGUGGGGAAUAUUGGACAAUGGGCGCAAGCCUGAUCCAGCCAUACCGCGUGGGUGAAGAAGGCCUUCGGGUUGUAAAGCCCUUUUGUUGGGAAAGAAAAGCAGCAGGUUAAUACCCCGCUGUUCUGACGGUACCCAAAGAAUAAGCACCGGCUAACUUCGUG